This 697-nucleotide ribosomal RNA is filed under the name Pseudomonas sp. IH2-11. Its description in RNAcentral is "bacterial SSU rRNA". It matches the Rfam family "Bacterial small subunit ribosomal RNA", at positions 70 to 769 of the family's 1533-position model. The record is from RNAcentral. Lineage: Bacteria; Pseudomonadati; Pseudomonadota; Gammaproteobacteria; Pseudomonadales; Pseudomonadaceae.
UAAGAGAAGCUUGCUUCUCUUGAGAGCGGCGGACGGGUGAGUAAUGCCUAGAAUCUGCCUAGUGGUGGGGGAUAACGUUCGGAAACGGGCGCUAAUACCGCAUACGUCCUACGGGAGAAAGCGGGGGACCUUCGGGCCUCGCGCCAUUAGAUGAGCCUAGGUCGGAUUAGCUAGUUGGUGAGGUAAUGGCUCACCAAGGCUACGAUCCGUAACUGGUCUGAGAGGAUGAUCAGUCACACUGGAACUGAGACACGGUCCAGACUCCUACGGGAGGCAGCAGUGGGGAAUAUUGGACAAUGGGCGAAAGCCUGAUCCAGCCAUGCCGCGUGUGUGAAGAAGGUCUUCGGAUUGUAAAGCACUUUAAGUUGGGAGGAAGGGUAGUAACUUAAUACGUUGCUACUUUGACGUUACCGACAGAAUAAGCACCGGCUAACUUCGUGCCAGCAGCCGCGGUAAUACGAAGGGUGCAAGCGUUAAUCGGAAUUACUGGGCGUAAAGCGCGCGUAGGUGGUUCAGUAAGUUGGAAGUGAAAUCCCCGGGCUCAACCUGGGAACUGCUUUCAAAACUGCUGAGCUAGAGUACGGUAGAGGGUAGUGGAAUUUCCUGUGUAGCGGUGAAAUGCGUAAUUAGGAAGGAACCCAGUGGCGAAGGCGACUACCUGGACUGAUACUGACCUGAGGUGCGAAGCUGGGACAAC